CGCGGUGGUCCCACCUGACCCCAUGCCGAACUCAGAAGUGAAACGCCGUAGCGCCGAUGGUAGUGUGGGGUUUCCCCAUGCGAGAGUAGGGAACUGCCAGGCA
Molecule: ribosomal RNA, 103 nt
Filed under: Escherichia coli
Lineage: Bacteria; Pseudomonadati; Pseudomonadota; Gammaproteobacteria; Enterobacterales; Enterobacteriaceae
Source: RNAcentral